Xenopus laevis (African clawed frog) is the source of this 76-nucleotide non-coding RNA. The record is from Rfam. NCBI's taxonomy places the organism in Eukaryota, Metazoa, Chordata, Amphibia, Anura, Pipidae.
CUGUUCCUUUUUCCUAUGCAUAUACCUCUUUGAAUAAUGAAUGUAAAGAGGCAUAGGGCAUGGGAAAAUGGGGCAG